This is a long non-coding RNA of Hibiscus syriacus, 158 nucleotides long. RefSeq lists it as uncharacterized. The record is from RefSeq and is a predicted model, not a curated record. The transcript is spliced from 3 exons. NCBI's taxonomy places the organism in Eukaryota, Viridiplantae, Streptophyta, Magnoliopsida, Malvales, Malvaceae.
AUUCUUCUACCGUUGCCCGUGGUUUUUAGCCUAUAUUAUUUAGGGGUUUUCCACGUUAAAUUUGUGUCUUUUUUAUCUUCAUUUUUAUUUUCUUAAAUUAUCAGUUGUGAUUUUGCUUUAUCCGAUAACCGUAUUCCGCAACAAUUGGUAUCAUAACC